UCACAGGCCCCCUCGGUGAACAGUGAGGAGGAUGAGUGAUGUGACUGGGGGACAUGCAACCGAGUGGUCAAGCUAUGCUGCAAGCCAGGACCUGUUUGAGACUCUGCUGCAGUCCAGUCAGUCCUAGCAGUCGAGCAUGGACAAGCCUGAUGCAGGGAAGGAAUCUUGGCUGCUGCCAUAGUGACCUUGAAGCGUUCCCCCACCGGGCCUGUGGAGCGCCUGAGCCAGGUGGGGAGAAGAAAGAAGAGGAUUGGGAUGACCUCUUCAGCGAGAUCCUGCAAGUCAGUGCUGCAUCAGGCUGUGAGCAGAGAGCCUGGAGGUUUGGCCAGCGUGGCGAGCUCAGAGGUGACCGUGCAGAUCUCCUCAGCAGAGGUGACCAUGGAGUCCCAGAAUCACAAAAUCCAGCAUGGACCGAAUGGGAGGUACUGGAUCUGAUAGCUGUGUGGGGAGAGGAAUCCGUCCUAUCAGAACUCCACUCCACUCCACCCCAGAGGACUGCCCAGGCAACAGGAAGCUGGCAUUCAAUAAGUUUUGAAGUGCAG
Malaclemys terrapin pileata is the source of this 542-nucleotide long non-coding RNA. RefSeq lists it as uncharacterized. The record is from RefSeq and is a predicted model, not a curated record. Lineage: Eukaryota; Metazoa; Chordata; Testudines; Emydidae. The transcript has 3 exons.